Molecule: ribosomal RNA, 465 nt
Filed under: Vreelandella stevensii
Lineage: Bacteria; Pseudomonadati; Pseudomonadota; Gammaproteobacteria; Oceanospirillales; Halomonadaceae
Description: partial 16S ribosomal RNA
Rfam family: Bacterial small subunit ribosomal RNA
Source: RNAcentral
CCUACGGGAGGCUGCAGUGGGGAAUAUUGGACAAUGGGCGAAAGCCUGAUCCAGCCAUGCCGCGUGUGUGAAGAAGGCCUUCGGGUUGUAAAGCACUUUCAGUGGGGAAGAAAGCCUUGGGGCUAAUACCCUCGAGGAAGGACAUCACCCACAGAAGAAGCACCGGCUAACUCCGUGCCAGCAGCCGCGGUAAUACGGAGGGUGCGAGCGUUAAUCGGAAUUACUGGGCGUAAAGCGCGCGUAGGCGGUCUGAUAAGCCGGUUGUGAAAGCCCCGGGCUCAACCUGGGAACGGCAUCCGGAACUGUCAGGCUAGAGUGCAGGAGAGGAAGGUAGAAUUCCCGGUGUAGCGGUGAAAUGCGUAGAGAUCGGGAGGAAUACCAGUGGCGAAGGCGGCCUUCUGGACUGACACUGACGCUGAGGUGCGAAAGCGUGGGUAGCAAACAGGAUUAGAUACCCGGGUCGUC